Molecule: unclassified non-coding RNA, 334 nt
Filed under: soil metagenome
Description: partial contains 5.8S ribosomal RNA, internal transcribed spacer 2, and large subunit ribosomal RNA
Rfam family: 5.8S ribosomal RNA (bases 1-120)
Source: RNAcentral
GAUGAAGAACGUAGCGAAAUGCGAUAAGUAAUGUGAAUUGCAGAAUUCAGUGAAUCAUCGAAUCUUUGAACGCACAUUGCGCCCCCCAGUAUUCUGGCGGGCAUGCCUGUUCGAGCGUCAUUUCAACCAUCAAGCCCUGCUUGUGUUGGGGUCCUGCGGCUGCCCGCAGGCCCUGAAAACCAGUGGCGGGCUCGCUAGUCACACCGAGCGCAGUAGCACAUCUCGCUCCGGGCGUGCGGCGGGCUCCAGCCGUUAAAGCACCCACCUUUCGCAAGGUUGACCUCGGAUCAGGUAGGAAUACCCGCUGAACUUAAGCAUAUCAAUAAGCGGAGGA